UUAUAUUUUAUUUAUUAAUUAAUUUUUUUUUUAUUAUAAAUUAUUAAAAAUAAUUAUUAUAAGAUUUGUUUGAGUAUUUUAUAAAGAAAAAAUAAUUUUAAUUAUAGUUAAAUAGUAUUGUGAAAGAAAAUUGAAAUAAUUUGAAAAAUUAAUAUUUUAAAAGAAAAUUUAAUUUAUUGUACCUUGUGUAUCAGGGUUUAUUAAAUAAAAAUUAUUUACUAUAAUUUUCUCGAUUUUAAAAGAGUUAAUAUAUUAUAAAAGUUAAUGUAACAAAAUUAUUUUGUAUAAUAUAUUAGAAAUGAAAUGUUAUUCGUUUUUAAAGGUAUCUAGUUCUUUAAGAAAUAAAUUUAAUUUAGAAAUUUUAUAUUAUUUAAUUAAAUAUAUUAAUUAAAUGAUUAUUUAAUUUUAAUAUUUUGUGGGAUAAGCUGUAAAAUAAAUUAUUAAAAAUUGUUAAAUUAUUUAAUAAAUAUAAGCUUAGAAAUAGCUAUUAUUAGUGAAAUUGUUAUAAUUUAUUUUAUUAUAUUAAUUAUUUAUUAAAUUUUAAUUAUGUAUUAAAGUAUUUAUUUUAAUUAUAAAAAUGAAAAAAUAAUGAUAAAAUUAGUAUAUUAUAUUGUAUAAAUAUAAUAAAUUGAAAAGUUUUUAUAAAGAACUCGGCAAAAAUAAUGUUCGCCUGUUUAACAAAAACAUGUCUUUUUGAAUUUUUUAAAAAGUCUAACCUGCCCACUGAAUAAUUUAAAUGGCCGCAGUAUACUAACUGUGCAAAGGUAGCAUAAUCAUUAGUCUUUUAAUUGAAGGCUGGUAUGAAUGGUUGGACGAGAUAUUAACUGUUUCAUAGAAAUUUAUAAUAGAAUUUUAUUUUUUAGUCAAAAAGCUAAAAUAAAAUUAAAAGACGAGAAGACCCUAUAAAUCUUUAUAUAUAAAUUAUUAGAAUUUUGUAGAUUUUUUUUAUUAUAAUAAUUAAUUAUAUUUUAUUGGGGUGAUAUUAAAAUUUAAUAAACUUUUAAUUUUUAAAAUCAUUAAUUUAUGAAUAAUUGAUCCGUUAAUAACGAUUAAAAAAAUAAGUUACUUUAGGGAUAACAGCGUAAUUUUUUUGGAGAGUUCAUAUCGAUAAAAAAGAUUGCGACCUCGAUGUUGGAUUAAGAUAUAAUUUUAGGUGUAGUCGCUUAAAUUUUAAGUCUGUUCGACUUUUAAAUUCUUACAUGAUCUGAGUUCAAACCGGCGUAAGCCAGGUUGGUUUCUAUCUUUAAAAAAAAUAAAAUAUUUCAGUACGAAAGGACCUAAUAUUUAAUAAAUAAUUAUUUUUAAAUUGAAUAUAAUUAAUUUAA
Molecule: ribosomal RNA, 1325 nt
Filed under: Sarcophaga portschinskyi
Lineage: Eukaryota; Metazoa; Arthropoda; Insecta; Diptera; Sarcophagidae
Description: 16S ribosomal RNA
Rfam family: Archaeal large subunit ribosomal RNA (bases 1073-1232)
Source: RNAcentral